UGGUUCGCAUUGUGCGAUGAAAAGGGAAUUGGGUGAGAAUCCCAGACUGUCCCGCAGCUGUAAGUCCCCAUUGUGUGAAGGCAAGGAUGCCACUGUCCGUCAGACGGGAAGGCGCCUUCAGAGGGGAGUAAGUCAGAAGACCUGCCGUCGGCUUUU
This 156-nucleotide non-coding RNA is filed under the name uncultured Prevotella sp. Lineage: Bacteria; Pseudomonadati; Bacteroidota; Bacteroidia; Bacteroidales; Prevotellaceae. The record is from RNAcentral.